GAUGAACGCUGGCGGCGUGCCUAAUACAUGCAAGUCGAGCGAACGGACGAGAAGCUUGCUUCUCUGAUGUUAGCGGCGGACGGGUGAGUAACACGUGGAUAACCUACCUAUAAGACUGGGGUAACUUCGGGAAACCGGAGCUAAUACCGGAUAAUAUUGUGAACCGCAUGGUUCAAAAGUGAAAGACGGUCUUGCUGUCACUUAUAGAUGGAUCCGCGCUGCAUUAGCUAGUUGGUAAGGUAACGGCUUACCAAGGCAACGAUGCAUAGCCGACCUGAGAGGGUGAUCGGCCACACUGGAACUGAGACACGGUCCAGACUCCUACGGGAGGCAGCAGUAGGGAAUCUUCCGCAAUGGGCGAAAGCCUGACGGAGCAACGCCGCGUGAGUGAUGAAGGUCUUCGGAUCGUAAAACUCUGUUAUUAGGGAAGAACAUAUGUGUAAGUAACUGUGCACAUCUUGACGGUACCUAAUCAGAAAGCCACGGCUAACUACGUG
This 497-nucleotide ribosomal RNA is filed under the name uncultured bacterium. RNAcentral describes it as "partial 16S ribosomal RNA". It matches the Rfam family "Bacterial small subunit ribosomal RNA", at positions 28 to 507 of the family's 1533-position model. The record is from RNAcentral.